This is a long non-coding RNA of Scylla paramamosain (green mud crab), 2008 nucleotides long. RefSeq lists it as uncharacterized. The record is from RefSeq and is a predicted model, not a curated record. Lineage: Eukaryota; Metazoa; Arthropoda; Malacostraca; Decapoda; Portunidae. The transcript is spliced from 4 exons.
ACAUCCCUCACCGAUCUGGUCAUGUUCAUGUUAUUCUGCAGCUCCAUAAUGAGGUCAAACAGCGCCAGCAGGAAGGCCAGGAACCCGAACACCGAGAAGGCAUCAUUGCAACCUGCGUAGCCACCGAAGAAGAACCUGUGAGGAGACCCCGGUGCCUUUGAUGUAGCCUUGUCCUUCUUCUCUCCUCGGAUGAAGCAGAGGUAAGUUGUCUUAUCUAGUCUUAUUUUUCUUGUCUUAUCUAGUCUUAUUUUUCCUUCUUGAUUGAAUUAGUUAGUCGGUCUAAUAAUAUUCUCCUCUCUUGCUAUCAUUUUGUUGAGUGUCUUGUAGUGAGUUAUGCAGAAAAUGAAUCCUAAUACACGAUUUUCUUUAUUUCUGCCCUUUAUGCAUUGUUCCCUAUUACGGAGAUCACUUGCUGAGUGUCUUGUGGUGCGACACGUUCUCAACCAUCUCAGAGGAAGGAUACGUAUCUUUUACAUCCCGGCAAGUGGAAGAAGGAGCGGUCUUGGUAACGUGCAUCGCCUCCGGAGUGAUCCACGCUUGGGGCUGAGCGUUCAUGAGGGCGUGUCGGACGUGUCAGGCGUGGGGGGUGUCACGCUGUGGGUUGGGCGGCGGCAAAGUAGGCAUAGUGCUGCUGCGGGGUCUUGGUGUCGAAGGGUGCCCGCUGCAGCCGCCCCUCGCCCCUCCUGAAGGCCUCCCGCAGCACCUCGGGCGUGGCGCUGAAGACUGUCGCGUUCUCUGGCUUGUACUUACUGGAAAGAGAGAAAUUAAGGAGUGAUGAGAUGCACUAAGGUGUGUAGUAGCAGGCCCGACGCCGCUGUCUGCCUGAUGGGGACACUCACGGCCUCGCCAAUGGUUUUGCCGCCUCUCACACACGCCCACGCCCACGACAUACCGCGCCUAAGGAGAGAGGAAGCUGCAGCGGAACCUUCUCGCUGUAGCAUCUGACGCGUCUCCUCCGGCAGCCCGUAGGAGAAGUCACUCUGAAGGAUGGAGAGAGCAAUGUCUGGACACGGAGGCUUUGGAUUGCGGCCACUGGAAAUUUUGGUCUUUAAGAAGGAACAGAUGAUACGAGAGAGAGAGGAAUAAGUGGAGAGACGGCAGAAGACAGAGCCUAAUAGAAAAUAGUGAGGAACAGCGACCUCAUAUGAACAAGGAAGAGGCUGCAGAAGAAAGAAGGCACAGGAGACAGAAGCACAAAAACCAGAACUCUGCCGGCCUGGAUUGAGGAGAGAAAGAUCUCGAGGCGGCGAAGGUCUGCCCAGGGCUGGAAGUGUUCUGGGGCCCGCAUCACCCGCCCUGUCGCCUGGGGAGGAAGCGAGAGUGAAAGGCAGGGAGGAACUGAAGGCGAGAGAGACAGAGAGAAAGGAGAGAUUUUUUUUUUUUAACAUACUUUAUACAUAAAAAUAAGUGUACUCUUUGGAGGUGUGAAAAAAUACAUAACAAGGAUCUUAUAUUAAUGUUUGCAAACUCACGCAUUACUAAACGACAUUUGUGCCACAACCACCGCCAUUUUCACCACCACCACUUCUUCCCCUACAGGUGCUGUGUGCUCACCUGGUGGAGGACCGUUACGUACAGACCCUCGCUGCUCCUGGUGUCAUUAAGGUCCUGCAGGUAACUUGCUGAGAACACCGCCUCCUGCAAUACUCAAGGUUAACAAGGAACAUAUACCAUCAAAGGGAAAAGAAGCAACCACAGUAAUCCCCAUAAUUAAUACGGUGGCCUUUAUCAACAAUCCUAGCGAGAGAGGAAUGCAUUUAAGAAAACAGGUCAAUGACGGAGACAGUAAGUUAACCUACACAGGAAGACAACACUCAUGGUGAAGAUAGUGAGGAAGAAACGCAUGUAUUAACACAUGUAAUGAACGAUGUAGUCUCUGAAAACGACCCUAUUCAGGCAACCAUGCAUUAAUGAAUACUGGUCAGUGACUCAGUAAGGAAUAUGUACAGCUCUCGAUAUUCCUUGAUGACAACACUGUUAAUAAACGACGUUAAGUUAUAGGAAACUC